UACGGGAGGCAGCAGUGGGGAAUAUUGCACAAUGGGCGAAAGCCUGAUGCAGCGACGCCGCGUGAGGGAUGACGGCCUUCGGGUUGUAAACCUCUUUCAGCUCCGAAGAAGCGAGAGUGACGGUAGGAGCAGAAGAAGCACCGGCUAACUACGUGCCAGCAGCCGCGGUAAUACGUAGGGUGCAAGCGUUGUCCGGAAUUAUUGGGCGUAAAGAGCUCGUAGGCGGUGUGUCGCGUCUGCUGUGAAAACUCAGGGCUCAACUCUGAGCUUGCAGUGGGUACGGGCACACUAGAGUGCUGUAGGGGAGACUGGAAUUCCUGGUGUAGCGGUGAAAUGCGCAGAUAUCAGGAGGAACACCGGUGGCGAAGGCGGGUCUCUGGGGCAGUUACUGACGCUGAGGAGCGAAAGCAUGGGGAGCGAACAGGAUUAGAAUACC
RNAcentral lists this ribosomal RNA (436 nucleotides) under uncultured bacterium. RNAcentral's name for it is "bacterial SSU rRNA". It matches the Rfam family "Bacterial small subunit ribosomal RNA", at positions 340 to 787 of the family's 1533-position model. The record is from RNAcentral.